Molecule: long non-coding RNA, 2928 nt
Organism: Prosopis cineraria
Lineage: Eukaryota; Viridiplantae; Streptophyta; Magnoliopsida; Fabales; Fabaceae
Exons: 6
Source: RefSeq, a predicted model, not a curated record
CAAUCCUCCCUUUUUAAGUCAAAUUUUCUUCUUCCUCUGUCAUUUUAACGAGAGAGCCGACGAGAGAGAGGCAGAGAAUUCUGGAAACUUUCAUCUCUGUCCUUCUUCGUUCCAGCAUGUCCACCGACUUGGGUAUACAAUCACCAUGAUCGACUAAUGCUAAGGGUCCAUGCGUCGUCUUCUCCGUCUUGUUUCACAGCGUUCAUUAUUGUUGCUGCUGCAUUUGUGGGUGUGGCUAUGGCUGUGGGGGCAUCGAAAUUCUUCCUUCCAUGCUUCACAUCACCACUGUCGUCUCCCCUAUUUUGCGUCACAAAUUGCUCAACUUAGCUAGUCGUCCAACUUGUCUGUUCAUCGCCGUCGCUACUGGAGUUUUGUCCAUCCAUCAUUGCAGGUGGUUCCGGUAAUUAGAGUAGCCAAAAGGCAACUGAGAGAUGUUCAAAAGGAGUGAAUUUUCAUCUUGCUAGCUUUUCAGGUAAGUGGAUAGCGUCCCAACUGAUUUGUUUAAUCAAAAUUUCUUUUACCAGAAUAUUACGUUUUUCUGGAAAUCAUUUUAAUAGUAUUAAUGCGAUUAUUGGAUAUUUGUUUAUUAACAUUACUUUAUUUUGAGAAAUUAGCUUUAUCAAAUUUGAAAUAUUAUUUGAUCAAUUAAAUUAAGUUUGGACUUUGAUUAUGAGAUUUUUAUUUUAUCAAAUAUUAGAUUGAUAUAGAGAAUGAUUCAUGCGAGUUCGACUUUGAAAUUUUUGAUUAUUCAAUAAAUGCAAGCAUGAGCAUUGGAUAUGAAAUUUGCUUCUGGCAAGUUUUAAUGUUUAAAAGUAUUCAUGCGAGUUUGAUUUUGAGAAUGAGAACUGUAUCUUAAAAGUGAUGAUUUUCUCGCAUGUUUGAAAAUGGUUUUAAAAAGGGACUUUAUAUAGAACACUGGUUGUUAACGACAGUUCCAUUAGCCCUUGGCGCGCCAUGGUACACCUAGCUAGCAGGGUGUGUAUAGGAGGUGCUAGCCCCGUGCAAUGGCCAACGCACGUGAAACGGAGGGAUGGUUAUUCGUGAGCAUAGUACUCACGUUUGUUUCGUGGCUUCAAGCUGCGUUUGGUUAGCAAUACCCUCGUGGACUGUGUGUUCAUGUUUGUUUCGUGGCUUCGGCUGCGUUUGGUUACUUACCCUCGUGGACUGGUGUGUCCACGUUUGUCUUUGUGGCAUAAGCCGCGUUUGGUUAUUUAUUCCCGUGGACUGUGUGUCCACGUUUGUUAUUUGUUCUGAUAAGUCCCUAUAAUUAUGAGUUUAUAAUUAUUUUAUGCAAUUAUUUGCUUUAUUGGAAGUACAUGAUAAUGACAUUUAAUAUGAUAUUUUAAUGAAUCAAGAAUUUAUUUAAAGUUACAUAAGUCCUUUUUGACGAAGUUUAUUAUAUAUUUGUUUGCACAAAAUUUUUAUUUCUAACACACAUAAUUAUGUUAAACUUUCUUUUUAUACAUAUUUAGUUAUUUAUUGUUGGGAUGCUAUUCACUGGAAACUUAUUUGGUCUCAGAUUUGUUAACGGGCACUGAUCCUACUGUUGACAUUUAAAAGGGCGAAAAAUUGAUCUGGGUGGUGGCAUUUCACUUUAUCUCCUUUUGACAUAAACAUUUGAACUGAUGUAUUUUAUUUUGAAAGUAAGGUUAGUUAGCUCCAUAUAGCUUAUAGCUAAAUUUCUAUUAUGGUAUAUGUCGUUUGCUGGUUGGAAGGAGUUGAGUUCCUGAUUAAUAUUAUAUUUUGUGUAAAAUAUUGACAGAAAAAAAAAUUUUGGAAGAUCCUAAUUACUAGGAAGAUUCUAUUGAAAUUUCAGUACAAAUUCAACUAUGUUUAAAAAAAACAGAGAAGAUUUCUCAAUUUAGGGCUUAAGGGAUGUGUGAUAUGGUCCACAUCCUGUGCCGGUCAACCUCUAUUUUUGGGGUGUGACAAAGUACAUGGUGGCACAAUUUGUACUGCCAAAUGAUGACAUGUAUUGAAAAGAGGUUGUUGAGAUCAUUGACUUUGACAUUAUCAAUACUGUCUUAAUGCGCAAUGAGGUCAUCUACAGACCAAUCAACAUUUAUAUGAGGUACUUGUACGAUACCUUCAUCAUCCCUAGUAACUUGGGAUUGAGGUUUAUGUUUGUCAAUCCCUAUAAGUUCCCAAGUUUUGAAGGUAAUCAGAAGGAUAAGCAUUUGCAAUAGCAAUCUUAAACAUCAACUACGUAUUUCAAGGAAAGAUCAGCUUCAAAAGGGAUGUUGUUUUUUAUUCCUUAUCUGAAUGGCCCCAAUUGUAGGUUCGGUAUUAAGUUAGGCUACCCAGGCAUCAAAAGGAGAAGAAAAUGGAGGGUUAAUAUUGCUGUGCCACACAUUGUGGCAUGAAGAGCAUCUGCUGUAAUGGACAAACACUUCAAAUGUGAAAUGAAGACCUUUCUGUGCCAUGUGCCACGGUGCAUUCUGCGUUUGCCGUGGUGCAUGGUCAUUUUCUACAGUUUAUCAGUCUCAAAAUUAAGACAGAAAUGGAAAGGAGAAAAAGGGGAAAAUGGAGAGACGUGCCAAGUUCUACUAGGGUUCACUCUUGGAUGACAUUAGGAGUAUUUUAAAAGCUACAAACACCCAAGCCUUAGAAGUGGGUCUGGAAUAAUGGUGGGCUACCCAGGCAAGGAAAGGGAAAGAAAAAGUGAAGAAUUAUCCUCUAUGCUAGAUGCCGCAGCACAUGGUCAGUCUGUUGCAGUGCACAGAGACAAAUUUGACUAACAGGCUCCUUUGUGCCAUGCACCGCGGUGGAAGGCAGCGUGCAUUGCAGUACAUAGGCAAAAUUUUUAAUAAAUCAAAUCGCAUCUAUGUGAGAAAACAAAAGAGAGAAGAGGAAGAAAAUGAAGAGAACGUCAGGGUUCUACUAAGGCAUGCUUAUUAGCUCCCAUUAUUGACAUUUCAAAGCUCUUAA